GCUCUGGUAGUGUAGUGGUUAUCACGCUUGUCUCACAUCAGUUGUACACAAGAGGCCCCCGGUUCGAACCCGGGCUGGAGCA
Non-coding RNA from Pestalotiopsis sp. NC0098, 82 nucleotides. The record is from the annotation of a GenBank genome assembly. NCBI's taxonomy places the organism in Eukaryota, Fungi, Ascomycota, Sordariomycetes, Amphisphaeriales, Sporocadaceae.